UGAUGCAGCAACGCCGCGUGAGGGAUGACGGCCUUCGGGUUGUAAACCUCUUUUAGUAGGGAAGAAGCGAAAGUGACGGUACCUGCAGAAAAAGCACCGGCUAACUACGUGCCAGCAGCCGCGGUAAUACGUAGGGUGCAAGCGUUGUCCGGAAUUAUUGGGCGUAAAGAGCUCGUAGGCGGUUUGUCGCGUCUGCUGUGAAAACUGGAGGCUCAACCUCCAGCCUGCAGUGGGUACGGGCAGACUAGAGUGCGGUAGGGGAGAUUGGAAUUCCUGGUGUAGCGGUGGAAUGC
Molecule: ribosomal RNA, 293 nt
Filed under: Herbiconiux sp.
Lineage: Bacteria; Bacillati; Actinomycetota; Actinomycetes; Micrococcales; Microbacteriaceae
Description: partial 16S ribosomal RNA
Rfam family: Bacterial small subunit ribosomal RNA
Source: RNAcentral